ACGUAGGGUGCAGGCGUUAAUCGGAAUUACUGGGCGUAAAGCGUGCGCAGGCGGUUUGCUAAGACAGGUGUGAAAUCCCCGGGCUUAACCUGGGAACUGCGCUCGAAACUACUUGGCUAGAGUGUGGCAGAGGGAGGUGGAAUUCCACGUGUAGCGGUGAAAUGCGUAGAGAUGUGGAGGAACACCGAUGGCGAAGGCAGCCUCCUGGGCCAACACUGACGCUCAUGCACGAAAGCGUGGGGAGCAAACAGAA
Molecule: ribosomal RNA, 253 nt
Filed under: uncultured prokaryote
Description: partial 16S ribosomal RNA
Rfam family: Bacterial small subunit ribosomal RNA
Source: RNAcentral